AUCACCACCGCCUCCGUCUUCUCCUUCUCUGCGCUGGAGCCUGCAGCCUGGUACAUCCUGCAAGGAAAGGCGGUGGAGGUCUCUCAUUGGCCAGAAGCUACCAGGGCAGGAAUCCAGCCACCACACUGUGAAGAAGCCCAAACUAGCCUGCCUGGAGAGACCAAUGGAAACACCCAUGUGGAGAGGAACUGAGGCCCCCAACCUACAGUCAGCACCCACCACGAGCUUUGUGAGUGAAUGAGCCUUCAGAUUAUUCCAAAGUCCAGCCUUGGGUGCCUCCAGCUAAGGCCCUAGACAUCACAGAGCAGAGUAAAGAAAAGAAGAUACGGAAGGUGGAACCAAGAGCCCCGAGCAUGGAGCCAAGAAGUGUGGAGAAGCAUUCCCAGGCAGUAGCACUGAGCCCUAAUCAAGAAACUGGCAAUAUGUGCCUGUCUGGAUUUCAAAAUUGCUAUGGACCAGUGACUACUGUGACAUAUGCCUUUGGACCUCUGAGUUGCCAGGAGAGAAGUCCAGCUAUUCUGAAGCUGCGUGUGGGAGAGUUCGUGUGCAGAGGCCACAGAGAGACAGAGAGGAACUCCAGCUGGUCCAGCCCUACUUGUUUGAGUCCUCCCAGCCCAGGUGCCACAUAUGUGAGUGAACAAGCCACAGUCACACUCUGACUACAACUUCAUGAGACUCCAAUCCAGAACUGCCCAGCUGAGUUCCCUGUUUCCUGACCCACAGAAACUGUGAAUGGAGAGGAAGUCAUAGAUCUGAAGCCUGAGGGGGAUUCCAUGUACCUUUGAGGACUUGAAGAUGGAAGAGACCAUAUGGAAGGGACCUGAGAGAGUGCAGCUUCUGGGAGCUGAGACAACCAACAAGGAAACAGCACCUCAGUCUGACAACCACAGGAGCAGACUUCUACAACCCAAAAGAGCUUGGGAGCAGAUCCUUUCUCAGAGCUUCUAGACAUGAGCCCAGCCAGCUCACACCUUGAUUUUGGCCUUGCAAGACCCAGGCAGAGAAUCCAGCUGAGCCCACCCGGACUUCUCACCUGCAGAACUGUGAGAUAAUAAACGGCUGUUGAUUUAAGCUGCCAACUUUGCGGGAGUCUGUUAUGCAGCAAUAGAAAGUGAAUACACUCCUUUCUCAUUUCAUCCCGAGAAGGUCUGUGAGGAGGGUCUGAGGACUCCCCCUUUGCAGACAGGGCAGGCUAAGCGAGGUGCUCAGUUUGCACGUGUCCAGGCUGGGGCUCAGGCCCGGGUCCAGCUGAUUUGAAGGCUCUUUGCACCAUGAAUGCUUCUCUGACCUGAACAGCCACAGAUGAACCUUGGGCACUUGGCCUAAGUCAAGGGUGUCUCGUCUUCCCAUUCAGGGGAAGCAGGGAGGGCUGCAUCUUACACCCCCUUUUAUAAGAACCACCCAGCAGCUCCUUCCACGCCACAGCCUGCAGUCUGCAAAGCUGUCCCAGGCCUGCAUGCCCAGCUGAAGAGCAGAGUUCUGGCAGGAAACAGGAGAAGGGCAGUGACCUCGUCCUCCUCCUUCUCAGAUGACACGUCUGGGCUCUGUCAAGGCAAGAGGCAGGAGCUGGGAUGCAAGGAGCAAUAAAGUUUGGCUGUGGCCUUCCCCACUCCCAGUAAAAAGCAUUCUCUGACUGGCUGGGAUGGGGAUUUUUUAAUUUUAUAUUUGCUCCCAUAAUAAUUUGUUGGACACAUAGUUGAAUACCCCCGGGAGUCCAGAAAUGUUUGCAAGGAGAAAGAUUAUGUUUCUGCUUUAUUGAUUAAAAAGCCCUAAUGAAGGUUUUCUCAUUCCCACAUGAGGCCUUUUCCAAAAAUCUCCUCUGAUUCUUCCCAGAUGGUGUCCAGCUCUCUCUCGGAGCCCCCGGCAGGGUGGGGCUUCAGAAAGUAGGAGGGUUUUGUGCCUGACAGACCUGGGAUCUCAGCUGUCACUUACCCCAGAGGGGUGGUUGGGCGAGGGUGGGCAACCUCCCUGAGCCUCACUUUCUCUGUUAGACUGUUUCUGAGAUGCAGUGAGCCAAACAAAUAUACACAAGGUAUCUGGUACGCAAGGAGGAAGGAAUCAGUAUUGUUUUCCUUAUCUGUCUGCCUCACCACAACACAACAGCUACCUUGGAAAUAUUUUUUUGACAACCAGAACAUAAUUUUUAUUCUGAUGACAGGCAGGCCUGGUCAGCCAACAGCAAAAGUCUGCAAUCAGCAGAAUUUGCCUGUGUGCUCCACCUUCUCAAAGCCACUUCCUCUAUCCAUAUCCCGUUUCCUCCUUUCAGGCCCUGUCUGGCUGCAUCCCAGGGCCCUUGGGGGGAACAUGCUGGGAAGCCUCUGAAAGACGCUCUCAGUUCGGUAUUCGAGAGGGAGGGCUGUGCCUCACCCUGGGGACUGAAUGGUGGAAUCCCCAGCACGGGGCAGGGGGGCCAGCAAGGGGAAAUUUGGGGGCAGCAGGGAGGAUGCUGCGAGAUCCCUCCAGGUGUCUGUCUGGUGGCAACCGUGAGAAAUGGUUGUGCAAGGCUCCCUCCAGCUCGGUUUCUGUAGACUGCGUCUUUGGAGGUUUGAGCUAAAUCCUUUUAGAGGUAGUUUUUGCUGCCAAGGAAUCUUUGGGAGAAAUCUGCUAGAUUUAAACUUUUCAAAGUUUCCACAGUGAGGGCUGUGCUGAGUAGGUUCUCAGGACAGAGUUUGGGGUUGUCCUGUAUCUGGGGAGUGAGAGGCAAGAGGAGUUUCAGGGUCUGGGCCCCAAAAGAGUCGGCCUCACAGUAAGGAGGAAGAUGAAGGGAUGGAGGAGUGGGGUGACUGUGUUUACCCUUCCAUGUGGAAGAGGUGGAGACCCCGGGUGUUCUGGGAUGGAGGGCAUUUCAGGGCCCCCAAGAGUCCCUGCGGGUUGAGAGCAAAGCUGGUUCCUCACAGGGCUGUCUGCUGGGGCAGAGGCUGAAGGAGGUGCCAGGUGGGCAUUGGUGAAAUGGGGCCUGCUGCCCAGGAUGGGACACAGAGGCCACGGCCAGGCACCGCCUUCAGCUGCCUCCACCCUCCUCCCCAAGGCUGUGGGCUCAAAGCUGAGCCAAGCAUGAAACAGACAGCCUCUCUCCGCCUCUCUAUUCCCACCCCCAUCCUGAUGGAGUCUGGUUUUCAUCACCCAUUAAUCACCAAAGCUUCCCACAGCCUGUGUCUGUCUGUCCACACUCACCAGCCCCCUGGGCCCUGGGGGGAUGGAUAGACAGACAGCCAGGCAGAUGGUCUCUGACUUGGGGAAAUUUAGGGUCACACUGGGGGCUGCUUCCUACUCCAAGGCAGAGAAGUAUGCUUCCUGAGCUUGUUAGCUCACCCCCACCCCUAGCCUGGCCUGAAGCUGCCAGCCCGGCCCACCUCACCCUGGCAGUAGGCGACAGGAGCCAUUAGCUGUCCUGUUCACCAGGAAGGAAAUGGGUUGGAGGGCUGAGGAAUUCUAAUGAAGCUUCCCCAGCUGGCAGGCGGGCUAGCGGAUGAGAGCUGGCACCUCCAACCCUGCUGGAGUUGGUGCCAGCCCAGUUUGGCCUGGCCUGCUGGAUGCCCACCUGCUGCUGUGGGAACCCCGGAUUUGGACUGUCUUGCAAACCCUCUGAAGAUUCCCAGAGGCCGGGGUUCUCAGCCCUGCAGGCCCAGCCUGGCUCUCUCCAUGCCAGCUCUCUGGCCCUGUCCUUACUCUCUCCUCCUUCAGUCUCCUCGCCAUGACUUGCCUGAAGGAGAUGGGCCUUCUGGGGUUUGGUUGCCACAUGGGACCCCACCCAUUCAGACUGUCAUUGCACUCCCUCUGCAACUUUGGAGACCUGGGUUCUGAUCUGGUUCUACUCUGACCCACUGUGUGGCUUGGAGCCACUCUAACCUCUCUGAGCCUCAGUUUCCUUGACUGUCACAGUCACAGUCACCAUGCCUGGCCAAAGAGGGUAUCUGUUGGUGUUAGGAAGCCCCUAUGUGCUCUAGUCACCGUGCCUGCCCACCCACUUGGGGUAUGGGCUGAGGGCUGGUGGGCAGCACAGCAUAGGGCUGGCAGUGGUAGUGGAGAGUGGCAGGCAGCCAGGGGCUCCCCAGUGGUGGUCACAGCAGAGAGCUGAGACUGAGUCUGGAAACCUGGAAAUGACAUCGGGUACGGUCUUUCCUUCCUGGUCCAGCAGUCUAUGCUCCCUCAGAGCUGGAUGUCCCCAGAACCCAGGGCUCCCCAGCUCUGGCUACGCCCCCAGCCCUUCCCUAGGGCAAAUUUCCAUCCUUACAUGCCUCUGGUCGGCCAGGCUGCCCUGGUGGGUGGGUGCAUCUCCUCAGAUGGUUUCCAGUGGUGCUGGAGAGCCAUGCAGGGGCCUGCUCCCAGCACUGCCACGCAAGACCUCUGGCAGACACAGAGCCCCUCAGAGGGCAGAGCCCGCCAGAACCAGGAUUCUGAGGUCAUGGGACUCCUUCCCACAAAUCCUGGAUGCACAUCUGCAUAUCAUUGCACAGUGAUUUGCAUUCAUUUGCAUUCAAGUCCACAUCCACCCAACCCCAUAUUGUUCCUUUUUCCACCUCUAGUGAGACUAAAUAUUUAACCCCACACUCUAAAGUUGUGGUAUCUAAGCCCCCAACCCAACUGCAUCCAUUCCAAGUGUGUUUUGAGGACCUGGAGUUUGCACCAGCCUGUAUCUGGGCUGUCAGGGAGAUGGAGGAUGGGGAAAACAGUCCUUACUCUUGGGGUGUUCAAGCCUAGCUGGGAAACAAAAUUCACAGAUGGGACCCAGUGAAAAGCAGUAGACAGAGUACACUCAAGUGUGCAGUAGAUGCAGAUGGUGGGGGUACUGGGGUCAGGGGUGGGAGCAGAGUGGGCUGGAGGAGCAUGGGCAGUGGGCUCUAGGGUCCCUGGCACAAGUCUUUGUACGUGCUGGCCACCGUGUUGGAGAGGAGGCUGUGAUGUCCAGAGGGCUGGAUUUUCUUACUCAGCCCUGGGACACAUGGCCCUCUUUGGAGCAGGCCCUACAAAUGGUUGCCUUGUAUUGUACCAUUGACCUGCUCUUGGCCUGGACAGACUGGACCGAGUAUGGGGCCAGAGGCAAAGACAGCCUUCAGAGAGGUGGCUGGAUCUGAGUGGGCAGGAGCAACCACCCCAUCCAAUCCGAUUCCCAUCCAGAUGAGGUACGGAGGGGCUAGGUAACACGCUCCAGAGUGCCCCCAGGAAGAGGAGGACCUGGGCAGAGAAGAACUGGGCAGCCUGGCUCCUUGGCCUAUGCCCUUGACCACCGACCUCUACAGCCUCUCAUGAAGGAGUGAGCUGACUGGGCUCCAGGGCGUUAACAGUCAGGGGUUAGUAGAGCCGGGCCCUGGAGUCUGACCACCUGGGUUCAAAUCCUGGUUCCACCAGUUACUAGCUGUGUGACUUCAGAGGAAGCUCUCGAUUUCUCAGCCAAAGUUUCCUCACCCGUGGAGGGAGCCUAAUAAGAGCACCUGCCUGGUAGACAGCUGACUCACUUUGCACAGUGCCCACCAGGCUCUGUAGUAAAUGUGCAAUAUGUGUCUGCCAUUGGGUGGGGGUUGAGGCAGGAGGAAUGAGGGAAUGGGGACGGCCCGCUGUGGGCUAUCUGAGGAGAUUGGCCUGAUUAGAGCAGGGGCUGCCCAGGGAAGGAAAAGGGGCCAAGGCCAGGCCUAAGGGAAGGGAGCCUCAGUUCUGGGGCCAUUGCCCGUGGCGUCCUCCAUCUUUCCAGAGAGGCAGAUGUGUUCAGAGCUGCCCAAGACUUGGUAGUAUCUCUUCACUGAACUCACCUGGUCAAUCAUACAGAUGCUAGGGCUUCAGGGGUAUGGGAUGCUGUGCCCUUUGAAUCCCAGGUCCUGAAAAUGCCACCAGCUACCCAUGAUCAACCAUCGCCAUAAUGUGGUGAGAUCUUGAGUUGCCUGUCACGGCGCUUGAAAACAACACCUUAAAGUUAAGUUUUGCCCCCUCUGGGUUCCUUAAAAAAAUGUCCAAGAAGGAUGAGGGCUUAGUCUCUCCAUGUCAUGGUGAAACAACAAUCAGACCCAUUGUCAGGGCGGGAAGACUGGGGGUAUCGGUGGAGGAGGGGCAGGGGUGCUGAACAAGGGCAUGAGAGCAGAAUGAGGAGGGGCUGGGAUGUGUGAAGAUAAAACCAGAGGACCCUAUUAUAAGGAAACACAAUACGCAGAGGCAGACACACACCGAGACAUGCAUUCCUGCCCACUCACAGGCCCACAGACCGGCAUCAAGAGGCCCUGAGGGUAGCUGGCCCGCGUGCAGUUUCUGGAAUGCUCUUUCUUAUGAAAGAUUCUGUCCGGGAGCUUAGUUUAGGAUAAAGCAAGGCAGAAUAAGUUAGCUUUCUCCUUUACACCUUCUAUUUAAGCACAUUGGGCAGACUGAGUUUUUCUAAUAAUCGAGGCUAAAAGAAACGUUUGGGACUCGGUCCCUUCUUUGCCUCAAAGCUGUGGGCAGGAAAGAAAGGAGGAGGAGGCAGAUGGUCUGAGAUCGGCCUCCACCUUGGGUCCCAAACCCAAUGUACUAGCCCUGUGCAGGACAUCCACUGAAAGGUGACCUGACUUGUUCUGACACACGGUGGGUCAGCUGGAGGGUCAGCUCCCUACACCCUUCUUCAUGGCCACCCUCCUUGGUCAUGUCACUCAGCCUCUCCUGGGAGAAUGCUCUGGACCUUCUCUUUCCCACUAUUGGCUUUACUCUUUUGCUGUUUCCUGGCCUUCCACCCCAAAGCCCUGUAAGUUCCCUUCACAAUUCCUCCUUUCUGUGUGGGUUAGACCCUUUGUGCCUUAGGUCACUCCCCUGGUGUAACUUCCACACAAUAGUGUACAGCUGGAUGGAUUGCCACAUAUGGGUCUAUGCCCACGUAACCACUGAAUCAAGAUAUCGACCAUUUCAGCUCCACAGAAGGUCUCCUGUGGCCCUCCCCGGUAAAUACCACUCCUCAGGGUGACCAGUAGUCUAACUUCUAUCACCAUAGAUUCAUUUCCCUGUUCUUGACCUUCUACAAAUGGUAUCACAUGGUCUCUUUGUGUCUGGCUUAUUUUAUACAAAGUCACGCCUGGGAGACUCAUCCAUGCUGUUGUGUGUAGCAGAAGCUCUUUUGCUGUCGUGUGUCACCACUGUGUCAGUGUUUCAUUAUAUGAGUACACUACAAUUUGUUUAACCAUUCUCCUGUUGAUGGAUGUUUGGGUUGUUCCAGUUUGAGGUAUUAUGAAUAAAGCACUCAUAUGCAUACCUAUUCAAAGACACAUGCAUUUGAUUCUCCUGAGUAUAUGCCUAGGAGUGGUAUUGCUGGGUGACUUGGACUUUUAAGAGCUCACAGUCCUUCCUUCUCGCCGGUUAGGCCUUGGGACACAGCAACGUUAGCAAAACAAAUUGUGUCCUCCUCUCAGUGCCCUCCCACCUCCAGGGGCAGCGUCUGGGGAAGGUCAGGCAGCUCUUACACACUGCUAGGAUGGCCCCCGUGGAGGGCUCUGCACCUUUAAAGGGUCUCUUGAAGAGGCCUGAAAUGCUAUAGUGGGAGUUAUGAGCUCUCCUUCCGGGGCUGGAAGGGAGGUCAGGAGAGGGUUCGGCCUAGGACAGCGAAGCAGGAAGCAUACAAUUGCCCAAGAUGCUGGCGGAAAUAAAGUUGCAGGGUUAAUGACCUGUCCAAAGUCACAUGACAGUACGUGACCAGCCGGGUUGUCAGCUCAGGUGAGCCUCAUCCUGCCCAGAGCUCUUUCAACUGCAGCAGGCUGCCCUUGCUAUGGGGGAGGCAUUUAGGAACAGUUAGGGGUCAGGGUCAUGGUCCCGCUGAGGGUUCCACCCUAAGAUCAGCCUCCAGUCAAAGUUUUUUUGGGCUCUUUACCCCUGCCUGCCCACCAGCCCUGCCUCUGGCCCAGUGCCCUCCCAGGGAGACAUUCACAGGCCUUGGACAGCCUGAGUCAUGGACAUGGGCUGGAGGAGAGAGAGAGAGAGACAGACAGACAGACAGAACCUGGGGGCUGGCAUUGCCCAAGACCCUGUGCCAGGACCUGCCACUGAGCUAUCUGUGGGUGAACGGGGGCAGUCUCCAGAGAACAUUCCUGGAAAAUAGUUGCCCUGCAUAACCACCUCAGGCUUUCUUGGCCAGACCAUCGCAUUAGACAUCACACUGGCAAGGAUGGUGGGAUGGCUUUGAGUACCUGGUGAGGCCUUAGCAGUCAGGGGAAGGACUGCCUUGGCCUCCUGGGAACUGGCAGUGAACCUCUCCACUAGAAGGUUCUGGGUGGUGUGUUCUCAACUAAUACUAGGUGUGGUUCAUGGUGUGAAGACUUCAGGCUGUGGAAUUAGGGAGUCUCUGACUUUGCUGUUCUCCAAGAAGGGAGAGAGGCUGGGUGUGCAUGCUUGCCUGUUUGUGUGUGUGUCUGAGUAAUGUGUGUGUGCAUCUACUACUUAGCCAUUCAGUCUGCAAAUAUUUACUGAUUGCCUGUUAUGUGCCACCAUAGAUUCUGCAGUGAAUAAAGGAGACAAGGUCUUUGCCCUCAAAGUAGCUUUUUAGACCUAGAACAUGUGUCUCCAUUCGAUGGUGUGUAUACCUGAAGGUAUGUAUCUACCGGAACACGUGGCUGCCUUUGUGUGUGUGUGUGUCUGAAGGGGGAGUCUGAGUCUCUGAGUCUGUGUGUGUGUGCCUGAACAUAUGUGUCUGAGCGUGUGCAUAUGAAGGGGGAGAGAAUUACUCAUCCACUCAGAAGGCUGUUCAAGAAAGACUUCUCCCAGAGCAGUUACAUUUUCAUAAAUAAAAAUAAUCAGAUAAUGAGUUCAUUUCCGAUCUCAAGUUUGAUGCCAACAUUCCAGUGAAACAAGACCUGCUGGCAGGCUGGCUGUGCUCUGUGUGGCUUGAAUUAGCUGGGAGAAGUACAGGGGUGGGACCUGCCACUUGCAGGCUGCAGGGGUGGGAAGAGUAGGAGUGACCCACAACCAACAGAGAAGCUGCACGUGCCCGGGCCUGAGAAGCCCCUUACUCUUACACGGGCAUCAGCAGAACCCCUCAAUGGCCUGCACAAGGCCUGAACUUCCUCCCUUCAUUCCUUUGGGAGCAGGGAUUUAUCAAUGCAGAUGGCCCCAGAAGAAGUGGCCCACCAGGCUGCCAUGACUCACUGAAGGCACCCAGGCCAGAGCUCACAGAUGCCUGAUGGGAGAGCACACAGCAGGGUACACAAAGAGGCUGUGGUUGGAACCUUGAAGGGAGAGAGAGAGGGGCCACACCCAGGCCCUUCUUCUGCCUGGAUUCGCAUCAGGGGAGUCAAGUAUAUUCAUGGCCUUGCCCGGUGCCUUCCCCAACAAUCUUACAGCCUCAGUUCUCCUAGUCUACCUCCCCCUCCCCUGUGCUCCUGCCAGACAGAACCAUCUCCUACGCUGCCCUCUCUGGCCUUUGUGUAGGCUGAUCCCUCUCCUCGGAAUGCUCUUCCUCCAACUCUGCAUGUCCAAAUGUAUCCAUGCAUUAAGAUCCAGAUGUCAACCCCUUCAUGAAGUCUUCCCUAAUUCUGCAAGCUGGGAGCACUUUCUCACACUCAGCAGUUACCACCUUCUAACUGUCUCUUAUUUUUCCUCCUUGAGUCCAAGUUCCAGGAGGACAGGACUUGUGCCUCACGCAGCUGAUUUUCUUCUACAGGACCCCGUCAGCCUGAAGACAGGCUGUUCCCGGAGGCUGGCCAGGGAGGUGAACCAAGCCAGAUUCAGUACUACACUGUUGGCCUAUAUCAGGGGAACCUGUGAAAGGUUGUGCCCUGAAAUUUGCCCCUGUGCUGAAUUUGAGACCCAAUGCCAGAUGGGAAUGCCUUAGCAGUUGGACAGGGGCUGGGAGAAGGGCAUUGGUUGGGGUGGUAGAGAAGGGCUUUUCUUGGGAGGCGUGACUUGGACCCCAAACCAAGGCAUCUGUGAGACAUCAGGGAAUUACAUUGGUGGGGAAACUAUGGAUAAUCAAUUCAGAGGCAGAAUGAGAAAGAAAGGAUUCUGUAAGUAAGAAAGAAGGAUUCACAGAGCCAUCUGUCCAUCUAUCUAUCCACCCAUCCAUCCAUCCACUAUUUAUUUACCCAUUCGUGCAUUCAACGAGCAACACUGAGCAUCUACUGUGUGCAAAGGCUUGGGGGCUUUACAUACAUACAAUGACAUUUUUUUCAUCUACUCCUCAGAACAACUGGGUGAGGAAUGUGUCAUUAUCUCAGAGAGGGAAUUUGAGCCUCAGAGAAGUUGAAGUCUGUGUUCAGGUCACACAGCUGCUACGGGCCUGCCGGGAUUUACACUCAGGUCAGGCUGCUUCUCCAAAACCUGAGCUCUUCCCACGCCAAUGAGGAACAAAUGGCUUAUUUCUCUGUCUCUCAGCUUCAGGCUGAGCUGGAUCACGGCCCUCCGGCAGUAUGAGUAAGCCUUGUUCUUUGUCUGGGAAGUUCAGCCUGCGUCCCCACCCAGUGCCCCCACCACAAUUUUGCUAUAAGCCAGCUGUCUUUAUCUUUUCAAAUCUUCCAUGAUGAGGCCAUUUGUAGGGGCAAGGUCGUAACCCAAAGGAGCAGAGCUCUGACAGUGGAAUUUCUAGUGUAGAGGAAAGUUUUGCUGGGCAGGGGGUCCUCUUACUUUGCUAAGAGAUAGGACAGUCCUGGCAAGAGAGGCCAGCAUGGGCCAGAGGGAGGUAGAGCUGAAAAUGUUCUCAAAAGUCAACUAGGAGGUGGUAAAAAAUGCAUAUUCCAGGGCCCCAUCCCUAUGGAGUCUGAGUGAACAAUCUGGGGUGGGUCUGGAAAUCUGAAUUUUUAAUAGGCCCCAGAGGUUUUUGAUGUGAGUGGUCAGUGGACUGACAAGAAAUCCCUUAAUGAGAUUUAUGGGACAUAGAAAUCCCGCAAAACAAGACUUAAUGCUGAAGAUCACACUACUGUUUUGUUCGGAUUCAUCACACAGCUGAUCGGCCCUAAGCCGAAUAUCCCAAGUCCUUCUGCUUUUGACACGUGCUGAGGCACUUGAUCUGUUGGACCCCAUAAGCAGAUCCUGACAUUGAACUCUCUUGAGACUCACCUCUUAAAUGUGGCCUAUUGACCCAAGAUGACCAAACCUUUUGGAUUUUAUUAUUGAGUAUUUCCUACUCCUCCCAGCUUUGAUAUUCUGCAAAUUUGAGAAUUCUACCACCCACAUCUUCAUCCAAGUCCCUGACAAACAUGUUGAAGAGGCCAGGCCCAAGGCUGCAGAGGAAGCUCUCUCCUUGCUGCCGUGGGCCUUGAGGCCCGUCCACUAAGGACUCACAAGUCCUUGGACAUGGACCCCUCCACCCACCAGGUCUCCAUCAUGAAGGAUGCUAUGAAACUCCGGCUGGAAUCUAGCCAUGGAGGCUGCACACUCGGGUGUCCUCCCUCACCCUGUCCGUGGGACACAAAGGCUGCCUGGAUCAGGCCCUGAGCUCACUGCUUACUGUGUUUUGGAUGUGCAAACCCAUCUUUCCACGGUGCGUGUCCAGAACCGUGCUGUCAGGUUUGCUGAUGGGUACAGCAUGUUUCUCUCUGCGUCCCCUCCUCAGGCCCAGACCUGCCUUGGCAUCCAUGUUGCAGUUGGCCGUCUUGAAUGCUCCAGGCCAAGAGACCUGGGUCUGUGUUUGUGACCCAGAGACAAGCUAGGGUGGAGGGCUGCGGGGAGGGAAGACACUUGUGGGAAUUCAGUUUUCCUCAAGGAUGGAGGCUUGAAUAAGUGGUUGAUGUAGCUGGCCGUAAGCCUUGGAAUGAAUUUUCUCCCUUCCCACUGGUGGAAGAGGUGGAGACGCCACCUUGUGCUUCCUGAGUGGGAACUUGAGCCCCUGAGCUGGUUACGUGCAAAGUGGGGAAGAGGUGAAGAGAGGAACUCUGGGACUUAAAUGUUCUGGGCCUGGCUGGGAACACAGAGCUCAGACAUUUGAUCGGGGACUGUAACAGCUCCAGACAUUUCCCACAUUUCUCGGAGGGCUUUCUCACCAGAGCUUGGGUUUCUUUUGAGUGAUCCUUCCCCCAGGCACGGCCCCCACUCUAAUGGGGCGGGGUCGGGCAGGAAGCAAACAUUUACGAUGCCUUAGGUAUUCUGGCCUGGUUGUCUCUGAAACCACCAUCAGCUGCUGGAAGGGAAAAGUGGGCAAGUGUUGGCGAAGAGGUGGAAGAGCCCCCAGGACCACCCAGAGCAGUCCACUGGGCUGGCAAGGUCCAGUGGUGGGUAUUCCUGGGAAAGGAGAAAGUUUUCCUGCUUCUCUGGUUCUGGCCCUAUGCUCCCUGAGGACAGCAGCCCCAGAACUAACCCCUCCCUUUCUCCAGCUGCUCACCCUCUGGCCUCCAGCUCCUCAUUCAUGCUUUUUUAGGGGCCAGGAGAGAGUGUGGCCUGACCUCUCACUCCCAUCACCACCUCUUAGCCGUUCCCUGGGGCACAAGGCCCUCCCUGCACCUCAGCCCAGGCCCAGGAGUUGGGAGCACUUUGCCCCAAGGGCCUGCCCCUCUCAGGAGCUAGAGGCAGCAGCUGCUGUGGCAGAAGUUUUGGUCUGUGAAACGGAGAGAAUUGGAGGUAGCCAAGGGAGGAGAAAAGAGGAGGCUGUGUCCUGGCUUUGUGGCAGUUGGGAUCUGCAGCUGAACAAGUGGCCCUUCAGGGACUCAGCUCUGAGCCCCGGCUGCACCUGCCCUGCAGAGGCAGGAGAGGCCCCUCCCCCUAGCUUUCCAUGAGGUAGAAAUGGGGAUCUAAAGAGAGACAUGAACAGCAACCAAACCUCCUUUAUGCCUAUUGUGCACCCCCUCCCCUAACCUGGGCUUCUCUCAUGGAUGCAGACUGCUCUGGCUUCGCAAUGAAGUGCCAGGGGAUCCAGAUGUGAUAAGAUAACAUGGCUCAACCUCCCAAAGUCAAGUUUACCAGAUUAUAGGAGGAAAAACUACCAUCAUUUUUAUAUCAAAAUAGCCACAUACAUGCUCUGAAGUAGGAAGCAAAACUCACAUCGAUUUUUAAGAAGACACAACUUUUCAACCAAAUCUCAAACUUGGAGCCCCUUCAAGCUAUGCCCCCAAAUGCUCACUCUCUACUCCCUUCAGACAAAUACUCUAGGCCUCUGUGACUCAGUUUCUUCAUCUGAGAAGUGGGGUAACAGUAAUCCUACACUUGACGAGAAGAUUGUGAGGGUGAACGGAGGUGGGGUGUGAGGAGGAGCUAGCUGGGCAGAGGCAGGCAUGGCCUCCUCCUGUGCUGGUGGCUUUCACACUCCAGCGCUGUCCCGGGAGAAAACUCUGAUUUAAUGGUUCACUGGGCUUCCCCUGGCUGAGCUGGGUGUGACAAACCUCUGUCUCCUGGCCAUAUGCCUGGUCACCCAGAUCUCAGCGGACUGGAGACUUUCUGCCUAAGCUUCUCCAUCACGUGGAUAGCCUGAUGCAGGGCACAGGGAUCUGGGCAUUGGCUGGGCAUGCUCCACUACCCAUCUCUGAACCCCUGACCCUAGUGACCAGAGUCCUCUGCACCGCCAGGUGGGUUGGGGGGGUCAGUAUGGACACACUCCUGCAUAGAUCUCUCAGAUUAGCUUUCCUGAAGGGAGUAGACCUCUGGGUCAGGCUGGGAGCCCCCAUUUCCCAAACCUCUCAGGUCAUAGGUGACCACAGGGGUGAGAUCAGGACCAACCUUUUCAUUCAUUCACGCAUUCGUUCAUUCAACACAUAAUUGUUGAGUGCCCACUCUGUGGGCCAGCGAAUGUGUGAGGCACCACUUGCUCCUGUGUGACCUUGGGCAAGUCAAUCUCUGCACCCACCUCGCUGGUCUGUAACAUCUCCGGCAUUACAGGAUCUGCAUCAGAAGGUUGUUACGAGGAUAAAAUGAGAGGAUGCACAUCUUGGCAUGGAGCUGGUACACAGUAAGCGCUCAAUAAAUGUUAUCCGUGUUACCAAUACUAUUACUAAUAAGACCUUUUAGGUCCCUGCCCUCUAUGGUGUCUCGUUGCCUCUGGCCUCCCUUCUCCACCUCUGUCCUCUCUCCUCUUACUCACUGCUCCCCUCCUGCGCCCCCAAAUCUGGACCCCAAAACCGGGUGCGGCGCUCCGCUGGCCCGCCAGGUGCACAGAGGCCCCAUUCUCCAGACGCGGGUCCCCUUGACUGCUCCUGGGGGACCCUGUCCGGUGACCUCGCGACCCUGCCGUUUGUGCGGGCAAAGAGGGGCCUUUUGUUUCCCGCGGGGCCGCGCGCCUCCCGCCCUAAUCCGGCUAAUUACGGGCCCCCUGGCGCUCGGGGCGCGCUCGCCCACUGCUUUCCCACGGCCGCGAAGAAAGCCCCUCAGUGCGGCGCGCGAACAGAGCUCCGAUUCAGCCGCGGCCUCUGCUCGCCUGUCCCCUGCCUCGCUCUGCCUGUCGGUCUGCGGGGCUGGUUCCCCGACUGGACUGCCGGUUUCUCUCUGAUUCUUUUCUCUCUGCCUGCUCUCCGUCUCUCUCGUUCUCCUUCUCUCUGCCUGUCCACUCUGGGGCUUUCCGUCUCUGUCUUUCUCUUCCCUGUCUCUCUCCCAUAACCAGGCUUCAGUUUGCGUGCUCACGGUGGGGCCAUUUGGGGCCCCAGCGUGCCUCAGGCCCUCCCUUCCCUCCUUCCUGGGGACCCCAGGGUCCUGGCCCCUUCUAAGUGUAGGGAAACCAGGAAUCCUCUACGCCCAAGCCAUGUCUCUUGCACCGUCCAGGGGAAACUCUGGGCUCUCCCUAGUGGGGAGCAGCUCCAGGACAGAGAGAAGCACCCGGGAUGUCCAGGACCGGACUGGUGAAGGUGCGGUGGGACUCCAACAGCAGAGUGUGAGCAGAGGGGCCUGAGUGGACCCAGGCCACUCAGCUCACGGUGUCCUGUGGCCGGGCCAGAAGGGGGAGCAACUCUGAAGUGGUCUCAGCCUGGGAGGCUGCUGCUAGCCCCAACAGGAUUGGCCAAAGAAGGGGUCUGUGUUAUCCUUAGUGUGGGUCUGGACCAGCACCAGUGAGUUUGGACAACUGCUCUUCUAGAAUUCACUGGGAGUACAUGUCUAAAGGGUUCUGGGCAGGCUGUGGAAAGGGUCCUUUUGGCCAUCUUGAGUCCCAAGAAAAUAGUUAAUAAUUAAUUCAUCAUAUAUUUACUGAGAGCUUACUAUAUGCCAGAAACUGUUCUAAGCCACAAGGGAGAAAGCCAUGAACAACACCAAGAUCCCUGUGCUACAUUCUAGUGGGGGAGGCUGUGGGUAAACAAAUAAGGAAGACAGAUAGCUAUCAGAUGGUAGGAAGGGCUGUGAAAAACACAAAACCAGGGAGGAGUGUCAAGAGCUGGAUGAGGAGGGGGUCAGAGGAAGCCUCUCUGAGUUGGUGACACUUGAACGGACACCUGAAGUGAAGUCGAGAUGCUUUCAUUCCAGGAGAUCCUGGGCUUGCCAGCAGGUCCCCACCACAGCUGCCAGGGGACUCUUCCUGGUGCUCUCAAACUCCAGUCACUGGGAGAUGCUGAGACCCUCCAUGGCCUUGUGGAAGUGCCUGGCUCACCAUGGGACAGUGGCCAAGAAGGGGCUGGCUGGAAGAUUUGUGCUUAGGAAAGCUCUUCCUGCCCCUCAUUUUUCUUGCCUUUUCCUCAACACUGUCAGGGAUUUUCCAACAAUGAUGACCUUUGAAUGAAGAGACCACAAAUAAACCACACAGGCCUGUGGGAGGGGUUCUGGCCAGGGCCUGGUGGUCUGUGUCCGAGGAGAAGUAGGGCCCUCCGGUCUGCAGAGAAACCAAGGGCUUCUUUACAUGGAGGUAAUUGAGGAAAAAGGAUUAGUGAGUUUUGUGAGCUCAUAAAUCAUAAGACAACACGGCGUUGUUGUGGGUAUUCAGAUCAGGGGGACAAGAAAGAAGAAAAGGGGCAAAGUAUGCCCCCAGUAGGCUCAUGGUGGUCUCAGGCAACACAGGAGAAGCUGGGGGAUAGAGGCAGGACAUAUGGACAAACUGUAGGACCCACAGUUGCUGAGGGCUGGGAUUUGGGGCCCUGAGGGAGUCUGGAGCGCCGGCUAGAGCUGCUUUUGUGAGUGUGUUUGCUAAGUGACCUGUCUCAGCCUCUCCCACCAGCUCACUCCUCCACCCUUGUCGCCCACCUUGGCAGAGCCUGGUUCUGGCUGAACUCCCACUGAGUCUGCUUCUAGGGAGGUGAUGGUGGGUGGAUGGUGAAUGACCCCUCCUCCUGCCAAGCCACAGUGGGCCCGGCCAGGUUUAGGGAGGGGUCCAGAAACCCUCCAACCUGGCCUUCCUUCUCAUGGGCUGUGCUGCUUGGGACCGUGUGAAAUAGAAGCACCACAGUUCUGUAUGGGGCCAAAUGUUGGAAACCCCAGACGGGUCUGGGAGCUGGGAGAUUCCUUUAUAACCUGCCCCUCGCUGACUGACUCAGAGCCCUCGAGUGCACCAUCAGACCUCUCCGCGCCUGUUCCCUCCCUUGGAAAAUAGAGAUAAUAAUAAUCAUCCUUCCUUGCAGGGUGAUAGUGAGGAUAAAAUGAGAUAAGGAUGUAAGAUGUGUUCUGGCAGCCAGCAACUUCAGGCUUUUCUGACCAAUGCACUUUAUAUUUUGACCCAUUACCUGCACACAUAAUCGAAACAAAAGUUUAUACUUAACCCUUAUUAUGUUGAAUGCCUUGAUCUAGUCUAUUGUAUUCAUUCUAUUUGUAAAAAAUUGCAGGUCAUGACUCAUUGGGGGUUAAACUGCAAUUUGAAGAACACUGCCAUAAACCAUGGAAUGGGACAGGACAGCAUUUGUGAUAUCACCACCUGGAGAACUUGCUAGGAGCACAGCAGAGUGCACUUGGGAGCUGCCACUCUGGGCACAUGACCCCUGAUCCCACUGCGGCCCUCUGUGGUUGACUCCAGCCUUACUACUCAGCCACCAACCCUGACCACCCCCAAAACCUCCCUGCUGACUGCAGUCAGCCUCAUGCCUAAGGCCAGACACAGCCUGUAGACUCGAAUGGGACCUAGGGGUCACCUCACCCCUCACAACUUCACAGAGGAGGAAACUGAGGCCCGGCCAGGGAAAGUAAGUCAGGCAAGGCCACCCAGUGAUAGGCGGCAGAAUCAGAACCAGAGCUCAGGUGUCGUGCUGUCACCCCAUGGCUUGUUUUGACUUACGGCCCAGUCUUCUGCCUGGCUGAAACCCAGUCCCCCGCCUCCUCUUCUGGGGUCUGGGAACUGGCCCUGCCUGAGUGGAGUAGGAAUAAAGCAGCAGCGGGAUCCGUCUCAGUCUGCACACACCAGCCACGUGGCCAAGGUGAGCCUGUUCCUGCUUCUGUGCCUCAGCCUCCUCCUCCAUAGAGUGGGAAUGAUGCUUCUGCUCUGCCCAACCCACACGGUUGCUUUGCAGAUUAAAUGAGAUAACGUGUCUAAGGAGAAGUCUGAGAAAACAUUGAAACAUACUUUAAAAGUGAAAGCUUCUUGAGGGUGAGGGAAAGCUUGAAUAGGUGAAGCCCAGAGGUAUUUUUGGAGGGUGAAAUUAUUCUGUAUGAUAUUUCAGUGUUGGCUACGUGACACUGCAUUUGUCAAAACUCAUAGAACUUUACAGCACAAAGAGUGAAUCCUAGUGUAUGCAAAUUAAAAAAAUCAUUUAGAAAGUCAGGGGAUCCAGGACAGAAUGCAGACUGUGACAAGCCUAUCUGUAUUACAAAUGUGUGAAACAACCUCUCUGAAGUGGGUGGGGGAAAAAGGUUCCAAUUUAAGUAACUUUGGAAAUGAGCCUGUAAGACUGAAAACAAAAGAAACUGGGUAAGCCCUACACUGUUCAUGAAGCCGUUUCCCAGAGAGUGUGGGUUAGCAAUUGCAAAACCACCGCACAUGUGUGUUGCAGUUGAACAUGAGAGUUAAUGGAUGGUGGAUGGCGGAGGCUGGGGGCCAGGUUUCUCACUACAGAGCAGGGAGGUUACACACAAACAAGGGAAAAAGGCUAGAAUGCUCUUGGAGAUAAUGGAUUAGAGUUGUAGAUGUUAGUACGAACUCAAAUUUACCUUAAUAUAGACAGGGGUGGAAACAUAUAGAAAUAUUUAUAUUUGUGUAUAUUUGAUUAGUUUGAUGGGCACACAGGUUAGUAUACACACAUAUAUUUCCUUGUCCUAUCAGCUGAGAGGGCCUAGAAGCAAUGGUACCAGUAGCAAUUGUGGGGGCCUGGA
This is a non-coding RNA of Equus caballus (horse), 18072 nucleotides long. The record is from RefSeq and is a predicted model, not a curated record. NCBI's taxonomy places the organism in Eukaryota, Metazoa, Chordata, Mammalia, Perissodactyla, Equidae.